GGUGGCCCUGGUGGGGCGCAAGCGCCGUCGGCGGGUGCGGAUGGUGCCGGUGCGGGGCCGGCGGCUUCCCC
RNAcentral lists this transfer RNA (71 nucleotides) under Streptomyces lucensis JCM 4490. RNAcentral describes it as "tRNA-Pro". The record is from RNAcentral. Lineage: Bacteria; Bacillati; Actinomycetota; Actinomycetes; Kitasatosporales; Streptomycetaceae.